RNAcentral lists this long non-coding RNA (211 nucleotides) under Cicer arietinum (chickpea). Its description in RNAcentral is "long non-coding RNA (CARI_LNC002622)". Lineage: Eukaryota; Viridiplantae; Streptophyta; Magnoliopsida; Fabales; Fabaceae. The record is from RNAcentral.
UAAUUGUUCAAGCACCAACCUCUUUUCCUUAUGAAAAUAACAAAGCGGUUCCAUGGAGUUAUGAAGUCACAUCCCAUUUAGUAAAUCAUCAAUCAUGUGAUAUCUUUAAGCCUCAAGGUACUGAUAUCACCAAUAUUUCAGGGAUUAGCGGGAUGACCCGAAGUGGUCGAGUAUACACUCCUGAAGAACUUAGGAAAAAGGAAGGUCGUGG